This 400-nucleotide ribosomal RNA is filed under the name uncultured Pseudomonas sp. RNAcentral's name for it is "bacterial SSU rRNA". It matches the Rfam family "Bacterial small subunit ribosomal RNA", at positions 983 to 1382 of the family's 1533-position model. Lineage: Bacteria; Pseudomonadati; Pseudomonadota; Gammaproteobacteria; Pseudomonadales; Pseudomonadaceae. The record is from RNAcentral.
GACGUGCAGAGAACUUUCCAGAGAUGGAUUGGUGCCUUCGGGAACUCUGACACAGGUGCUGCAUGGCUGUCGUCAGCUCGUGUCGUGAGAUGUUGGGUUAAGUCCCGUAACGAGCGCAACCCUUGUCCUUAGUUACCAGCACGUUAUGGUGGGCACUCUAAGGAGACUGCCGGUGACAAACCGGAGGAAGGUGGGGAUGACGUCAAGUUAUCAUGGCCCUUACGGCCUGGGCUACACACGUGCUACAAUGGUCGGUACAAAGGGUUGCCAAGCCGCGAGGUGGAGCUAAUCCCAUAAAACCGAUCGUAGUCCGGAUCGCAGUCUGCAACUCGACUGCGUGAAGUCGGAAUCGCUAGUAAUCGUGAAUCAGAAUGUCACGGUGAAUACGUUCCCGGGCCUU